UAAAGAAUUUCGGUAUGGGAUGGGGAUGCGUUCCAUUAGUUAGUUGGCGGGGUAACGGCCCACCAAGACAACGAUGGAUAGGGGUUCUGAGAGGAAGGUCCCCCACAUUGGAACUGAGACACGGUCCAAACUCCUACGGGAGGCAGCAGUGAGGAAUAUUGGUCAAUGGACGAGAGUCUGAACCAGCCAAGUAGCGUGAAGGAUGACUGCCCUAUGGGUUGUAAACUUCUUUUACAUGGGAAUAAAAUGUUCCACGUGUGGGAUUUUGUAUGUACCAUAUGAAUAAGGAUCGGCUAACUCCGUGCCAGCAGCCGCGGUAAUACGGAGGAUCCGAGCGUUAUCCGGAUUUAUUGGGUUUAAAGGGAGCGUAGGUGGAUUGUUAAGUCAGUUGUGAAAGUUUGCGGCUCAACCGUAAAAUUGCAGUUGAAACUGGCAGUCUUGAGUACAGUAGAGGUGGGCGGAAUUCGUGGUGUAGCGGUGAAAUGCUUAGAUAUCACGAAGAACUCCGAUUGCGAAGGCAGCUCACUGGACUGCAACUGACACUGAGGCUCGAAAGUGUGGGUAUCAAACAGGAUUAGAUACCCUGGUAGUCCACACAGUAAACGAUGAAUACUCGCUGUUUGCGAUAUACUGCAA
This 636-nucleotide ribosomal RNA is filed under the name uncultured bacterium. Its description in RNAcentral is "bacterial SSU rRNA". It matches the Rfam family "Bacterial small subunit ribosomal RNA", at positions 202 to 842 of the family's 1533-position model. The record is from RNAcentral.